GGCGAGAUGGCCGAGCGGUCUAAGGCGCUGGUUUUAGGCACCAGUCUCUUCGGGGGCGUGGGUUCGAAUCCCACUCUCGUCA
Non-coding RNA from Haemonchus contortus (barber pole worm), 82 nucleotides. The record is from Rfam. Lineage: Eukaryota; Metazoa; Nematoda; Chromadorea; Rhabditida; Trichostrongylidae.